AUGUAUUGUUAAGUACAAUCCACCAUUAAGCCAGAAAAUAGACACACAAAAUGCUGCAGAAAGUACAACAAAUUUAUUCAAGUCAUUGUUAUUUUCAUAAAGAACAAGUAAACAUAACAAAGUACUAAGAAAAGAAUCAUUUCUUAAGUUCAGACGAAAUAGGUCAGCAAAAAAGACACACAUCCACUAGAUGAUCUCUUUAGAAGAAUUCGUUACCUAAUGGCAUCUAAAUGCUGGCGUCGUGCUGAGCCAAAGGAGGAAACGUUGCAUCAUCUAUUUUUUACAACUUACGCAGCUGCUAAAGUGUGGAAAUACUUCCUUGGUCAUGAAGGUAUUAAUGUGGAGGGAAUCAUAUUUCAUCAGGCAGUGACACAGUGUUGGACUGCAUAUGUAAUUCCCAGAAAGCCAACCACCAUGCGAAAGAAAAUGCUAACUCCGAGACUCAGGAGCUAGCUGAGGAUGUUUGGGAGCAUGUAGGAGAGGCUUCUCACAGCUUGUCUUCAGAAAUGAGUGAGACACAUCCAACAGAAACUUUAAUUUCAACCUCUCCUAUUUAAUCUGAUGAACCCAGUCCAUCAUAUUUAUCAAAUGCAAAACCAACUGAUUCUAAUGGUAGUGUUCACAAUCAACUAAACAAUACUUGUGAUGUGCCAAAAGAUGAGGGAGAUGCUUCAUACAUUAGCCAUAAAUGAGGAAAAAACAAAAGAAUCCUCUGAACAUAUUCAGUCUAAUAAUUCAGGAGCAUAAGAAAGUAAUGCUUUGCUGCUUCAUUUUCAAGAUAAUUCUCCAGUAGUACCCAAAGUGCUGAUGAUUCACCUUCUAGUUCUCCUCUCCAAAUGAUAAAACCAGAAUAUAACAAUCAUGUCCAGCCAUCAUAUAACAUUGGUCAGCCCCUAGCAAGUUCAGAAAGCCGGCUAUGCAAAACUUACAUCUUACGAUAAUCAAUUUAAACCAAAUAUUGAUAAGAUUAUAUCAUUGGGAAAACAAAGUAUAAGCAGAUACCUAUAUAGACCCAACAUGGCAUCUCACGAAUAGUGAACCAACUUAAACAGAAUGUUGAUUAUAACAAGAAACUAACACAAAGUUGAAACAUAUAGACUAAUAACAAUCAUGUACAACCAUCAGAUAACAUUGGUCAGCCCCUAGCAAGUUCAGAAAGCCGGCUAUGCAAAACUUACAUCUUACGAUAAUCAAUUUAAACCAAAUAUUGAUAAGAUUUUAUCAUUGGGCAAACAGAGUAUAAGAAGAUACCUAUAUAGACCCAAGAUGGCAUCUCACGAAUAGUGAACCAACUUAAACAGAAUGUUGAUUAUAACAAGAAACUCAAUUUUAUCCAACACAAAGUUGAAACAUAUAAACUUGUAUUUGUAACAUACGUAUGGAAAUCACAACUACACAUACUUUGUAAAAGCAACCAAUAGAUUUAUACAUUAUUUUUCUUAACAUAAAAAAAGAGGGUAAAGUUAUUGUAUGUCAAUUUUAUAUCUAGGCGAUUUAAAGAAAUUUACAAGUCUAUAUUUAGAACUAAAUAUUAUCAUCACUACUACUGUUCACAUACAUUUUUUUCGCUGAAGUUUGGACUUUAUAAGUUUAACACAAAUCCAUCUAUCCAAGAAACUCAGUUUUACCAAAAAUGAAGUUGGACCUUAGACUAAAAAUAAAUAAAUGACAAGAAUUAUUCAUGAUAAAACGUUUGAAGAUCCAGAACAACAAACUUAUACAACAAACCAAUAACACGAACAGAGAACAAUUAGGAUUUGUUACUUGAUAAUAAGUAUAUUGGCUAAAGAAAUGUCCCUGCAGAAUAUGGGUAACAAGUUCCGUUUUAUUAGAAACAUGAACAUGUAUUGUCAUGAUAGGCUGCAAUACGUUAAAAAGAAUAUUAUUGGACAUUAGUUGAAUAUAGAAGUACAGGUAGCAAAAUGAUAAGGAAAAAAUUAAAAAAUGUUCAGAAGUAAUGAGAAACAUAAAGUUACAAAGAAAAAAUUACAAGAAAUUAGAAAAAUAAAAGUAGUACAAAGUAAAAAUUAACCGUUUUGGCACGAUGAUGGAUAAACAGAAAAUAAGCAAAGUACGUUUGAAGACUAGUUGAAGAUCACAACCAAUCAUCAUCCUCGUGUUCAUUAUAUUCUUCCUCAGAAAGGUAUUCAUCAUCAUUAAAGUCAUCAUCAUUUUCAUGAUCAGAUUCUUCCCUAACUUCUAAAUCUACUUCGUAUUCAUUAUUAAUAGAAGGUACUUCACCACUCACUCCAUCAAUAACUUCUCUUUUUAUACUAUGACAUCAUUGUUUGAUUCUGCUUGAAGGCUUGCUUCUUCCCUUUCAACAAAGUCAAAUUAAUUGAUAUGGCCCCGCUUCAUCUUGUUCGGGAAUAUCAUACAAAUUUCGUGGUCUUACCCUUACCACAGCACCACAACAUGCCAUUUCUCACUUUGACCAUGUUUAACAUAAUACACAGCUUGAUCCUGUGAGCCUAAAAUAUAUUGAUCAUUUGUGUAACGGAGUCGUGUCACAUCUACACGUACGAAUCCAUAUUCAUCCCUUUCGUAACCUCUAUUUUGGCUUCGACCUUGGGGAGGAACGUCAAACCAGUUACACUUGAAUAAUAUGACUGAAUAACACAUAUAUUGGAUCUCUAAAAUCUAUCAUAUCUUUUCAUAAUAAUCAACAUUUUCUGUAUGCUUAUCACUCUUUACAACUACACCACUAUUUUGGGUUUUCAAAUAUAAUUCAGAUUCCAUUGUUCGAAACCUAAAGCCAUUUAAGAUAUAUCCUUUAUGGCAAUAAACACGAUUGUCUGGAAAUCUUGCCAAAGCUAACAAUUCAUCGGUAUCUCGACCAUCAUCAUUCUCUCUUAACUGGACCACCUAUAAUAUUUUGUGUGCAAAGUCAAAAACUUUAAUACUUCUUAUGAAAGUAAAAUUAAAAAAUAAUCAUUAGUAAAGAUAAACUAGCCUCAAAUGAUAUAGUUUACCUUUUUUCAAACCACAAAGGAAAUUCUUCUUUGUGUCUCUUGGCUACAUUUCUAUUAUUUUCCUUUGCCAAUAUUUCAAAAUGUUCUCUAUGGAUUGGAAGAUUUAGAAAAAAAAUAAAGAUUCGUUAAAGGUAUUCAUAAAAAGAAAAGGAUGUAACUAAAUGAAAAAGUUAUCUUACUCAAUCCAAGGUCCGACCUCCUCACAAUUUUGGAGGAUAAAAAAUCAGCUUGGUUGAUUUCAAGAUUACUCAAGCUUUUCCAAUCACCCCCUGCUAAUGACUUACCAUGACAACUAAAUAUGGACAAGCCAUUGGGAUUUAUAUUGACACAAUUAAAAUUUCUAUCCUGAUGAUUUUGCUUUGUCUCCACAUCACAAAUAUUUAGAACAAAAUAACAUGCAUUCCUCCGCAAGACAGCCCUCAGCAAUUGAUCCUUUAGGGCGAACUUAGUUGCGUACAUAACCUUUUAACGUGCGUAAAUAUCUAUUAAGCAAAGACAAAUUAGUUUUGUAGCAAAUUUCUUCUGAAAGAAUAAUUCAAAUAAGUUAAAAUUUAACCUUUCAAUGUAAUACAUCCAUCGAUAUUGAACAGGACCACCCACUUUUGCCUCAUUUGCCAAAUGAAUCAUAACAUCAAAGAACGUUGGUAGGAACGCACGUUCUAAUUUACAAAUUGUCAUCCGUAUACUUUUAUCAAGUUUAUCAAACCUUUCCACAUGUAGCUCUUUAGUGCACAAAUCAGUGAAGAAUAAUGACAAUUCAAUUAAGGGAUCAUAUGCAUCAUUUGAAAAAAUUCCUUUGAUGAUAAGAGGAAAAAUACGCUGAAAAAGGACACUGUGGUCAUGACUUUUAAGUCCAAAUAUUCUAGCUUCAUUAACAUUGACACAACGACCAAUGUUAGAAGCAUAAGCAUCAGGAAACUUGACUUCUUUAACGAGUUGACAAAAUUGAAUUUUCUCAUCUUUAGACAUUGUAUAGCUUGCUGGAGGUAGUAUGUACUUACCCCCACUUUUUACUGGAUGAAGGGGCUUUUUGAUUUUCAUCUCUUGUAUGUCCAAUCGAGAUUUCAAUGUGUCCUUUUUCCCUUCAAUAUCCAAUAGAGUUCCUAUCACACUUUCACUAAUGUUCUUUUCAAUAUGCAUCACAUCCAAAUUAUGUCUCAACAACAAAGUCCUCCAAUAUGGGAGUUGUUCAAAGAAUAUACUUUUCUUCUUCCAAUUGUCACAUCUUUCAACAUUUAUUUUUCUUUUUCUUGUGUUUCCACCAACUAAUCCUUGUGAAGAUGUAUUAAGUUGUGAAAGAACAUCAUCUCCAUUCAAAGCUUGUGGUGCAAGUCUUUCUUCCUUUGUAUAAUCAAAGGAACUUUUAUUCCGACGAUAAGGAUGAUUUAUCUCCAAGAACCUACGAUGGCCCAUAUAGCAAUGUUUUAGACCAUGUUUCAAGUAUAGGGAACAAGUAUGUACAUGGCAAACUGGACAAGCUAAUUUACCUUUGGUGCUCCAACUAGAUAACAUAUCAUAUGCUGGAAAGUCAUUAAUCGUCCACAACAAAGCAGCACGCAAGUGAAAAAUUUGUUUCUUAAAAGCAUCAUAAGUCUCGAUUCCACUCUCCCAUAAGGGUUUUAAAUCACCAAUCAAGAUUGGAGGUAUACGUCAAUAUUCAUACCAUGACUUUUUGGUCCAGGAAUAAGUAAGGAUAACAAAAUAUUAGAUUGUUUCAUGCAUAUCCAUGGGGGAGAUGAUAUGGAAUUAAAACUAUUGGCCACAUGCUAUAGACAUUACUCAUCGAACCAAAAGGAUUAAAACCAUCUGAAGCAAGACCAAAUCUUACAUUACGUGAAUCUGAAGCAAAACUUGAAUGUUUUUCAUCAAAAGUUUUCCAUGCCAAUGCGUCAGCUGGAUGUCUUAAUAAUCCAUUAUCAACUAUCUUAUUUGUAUGCCAUGUCAUAUUUUUCGCGGUUUGUUUUGUCAUAAAUAAUCGUUUUAAUCGUGGUAUCAAAGGAAAGUAUCUAAGAAUAUUUCUAGGAAUUCUUUUAUUUCUCUUAUUCAAUUUUCUUAAAGUAACUUCAUCAUCAAUUUCUUUUCCUUUCCUUACUAUCUAUCUUUUUUCACUACAUAUAAGGCAUUGCUCAAGAUCAACAUAUUCCUUUCUAUAUAAAAUGCAAUUAUUAAUACAUGUGUCUAUCUUCACAUAAUCUAGAGCAAAAUCUUUUAUGAUCGUUUUGAACUUCAUAAAUAGAAUUAGGGAGCACAUUUUCUUUGGGAAGAGCAUCCCUCAAUAAUUUUAACUAAGAGUCAAAAGAAGUAUUACUCCAGCCAUGUAGGCGCUUCAUCUAAAAAAGACGCAUUACAAACGAUAGUUUGGAGAACUUUUCACAAUUUGGAUAUAACUUUUGCUCUGCAUCCUUUAAUAAUCUAUAGAAACUUUUAGCUUCUGUAUUUGGCUCUUCGUACCUAGGCUCAGUAGUCUCAUCAAACUCACGACUAUUGGAGGGAAUACCACGAUACAUGUCAUGCAACAUUUCAAAAGUACGCGCAUCAUCAUUCUCUAAAUUUGAAUCUGUAUUGGAAUUUGUUUCAUCAUCUGAAGAUGAAUCCGACUCACCAUGAUAAAUUCACCUAUGAUCGGAUCUAUUCCCCACCUAAGUAAAUUUGUCUUAACCUCAUCGCGUGAUUUUCUAAGCACAUUAUUACAUUUAAUGCACGGACAUUGAAUUCUUACACCAACCUCAGGAUUAGAAAAUCCAAAGUUCAAAAAAUAUUCCACACCAUUCAAGUAUUUUGGUAAUGUCCUAUUCAUAAUAAGUAGCCAAUUCUUAUCCAUCAUAUACUAACCUACAAAAAAAUAUAAAACAAUAACUGUAAAUUAUAUAAUGAAAAUUGUAAAACAUUAUAUUUUAACUUUUUUUCAUAAGUUCACAACUACAUAAAGCCGGAAAUUCACAGGAAAAGGAAAGGAAAAAAUAAUGCAAUAUACUCUAUCAAGUAACAUAUAAAAGCAACAUACGUCAAAGAAUCACAUAUAACAAAAGUCACUCAAUUGGCCUCGCCUAAACAUAUAACAUACAACAAGUAGAUAAUAAAGCAAAUGAUGUUCCAUAUAGUCUAGCUCACUAUUCAAGAUAUGUUAAAUCAUAUAAUAGAUUCUAAAUGCUAUCAAAUGCCAACCAACAACAGAAGCCAAUCAAUAAUCUAAUGAAUAGAACCAAAAGUCCUAAUGGCCAAAAGCAAAAUAUAGUGCUUCUUCCCUGAUGUUCUCCUCAAAUAUAACAACCAAAUAAUGGUUGUAUUUCGUAAUGACUGUAGUAGAAGCCAUUGAUUUUCUUUUCAUCUUCUACAAUUCUCAGCCAAUGUGUAAUAUCUGCGUGUUAGCUUGGGUUUGUACACAAGAGUUUCUGUUCUGCUUGUCAUACAAUCACCGCUGCCACCAGUAGCAGUAACAAUUGCAGUAGCCAUUGAAACAACAGGGGAAUAGGCUAAUUCAACCGUAAAUCUAGUGGGAUCAACAAUUUCUAAAGGUGGAACUUGGUAGGAUGUCGUAGUCACACUCCCCCACCCCAACUUGAACUACCCCUACGUACCACAGCCCUCACCACCGCCAGAAGAGCUCGUUUACGAUGAUUAAAAUAAAACAAGAGACUGAACAAUAUUAAAAGAAAAAUUUAUGCAUAAUUGCUUUUUAAAGCAUAAGAAAUUAGAGAAGAAAUAGUUCCAAUCCUAGUCUAGCAUAGAAAAAAUUUAGAUACUCAUACCCAAUUAAGUACUUAUAACUACAUAAUUUGAUAAUUCAAUAAUUUAGUGGAGAAGCAAUCGGUAAAGAAAUUGAAGAUGGAGUUCUUACCGGUUCUUCUCCGAUUAGCAGCAACAACACACAACAAGAAGGCAACAGAAGAGUGGCUCUUUCAAGUAGAACUGAUAAGAAAACCCUAGCAAGAAUGGUUACUAGAGAUUGGGGUAAAAGUCCGGAAAAUUAUAUUUUACGCGAAAU
This 6957-nucleotide long non-coding RNA is filed under the name Nicotiana benthamiana. RNAcentral describes it as "long non-coding RNA (NBEN_LNC031189)". Lineage: Eukaryota; Viridiplantae; Streptophyta; Magnoliopsida; Solanales; Solanaceae. The record is from RNAcentral.